GUCUAUGGCCAUGCCACCCUGGACAAGCCUGAUGUCUGAUCUCAGAAGCUAAGCAGGGUCGGCCCUGGUUAGUACUUGGAUGGGAGACCAUCUAGGAAGACCAGGUGCUGUAGGCA
Molecule: ribosomal RNA, 116 nt
Filed under: Pteropus alecto (black flying fox)
Lineage: Eukaryota; Metazoa; Chordata; Mammalia; Chiroptera; Pteropodidae
Source: RNAcentral